This 596-nucleotide ribosomal RNA is filed under the name uncultured bacterium. RNAcentral's name for it is "partial 16S ribosomal RNA". It matches the Rfam family "Bacterial small subunit ribosomal RNA", at positions 355 to 940 of the family's 1533-position model. The record is from RNAcentral.
UGGGGAAUUUUGGACAAUGGGCGAAAGCCUGAUCCAGCAAUGCCGCGUGUGUGAAGAAGGCCUUCGGGUUGUAAAGCACUUUUGUCCGGAAAGAAAUCCUCUGGGGUUAAUACCCUCGGGGGGAUGACGGUACCGGAAGAAUAAGCACCGGCUAACUACGUGCCAGCAGCCGCGGUAAUACGUAGGGUGCAAGCGUUAAUCGGAAUUACUGGGCGUAAAGCGUGCGCAGGCGGUUUUUGUAAGACGGAUGUGAAAUCCCCGGGGCUUAACCUGGGAACUGCAUUCGUGACUGCAAGGCUAGAGUAUGGCAGAGGGGGGUAGAAUUCCACGUGUAGCAGUGAAAUGCGUAGAGAUGUGGAGGAAUACCGAUGGCGAAGGCAGCCCCCUGGGCCAAUACUGACGCUCAUGCACGAAAGCGUGGGGAGCAAACAGGAUUAGAUACCCCUGGUAGUCCACGCCCUAAACGAUGUCAACUAGUUGUUGGGGGAUUCAUUUCCUUAGUAACGUAGCUAACGCGUGAAGUUGACCGCCUGGGGGAGUACGGUCGCAAGAUUAAAACUCAAAGGGAAUUGACGGGGGUCAUAGCUGUUUUCCCU